UGGGGAAUCUUGCGCAAUGCGCGAAAGCGUGACGCAGCAACGCCGCGUGGGGGAAGAAGGCCUUCGGGUUGUAAACCCCUUUCAGUUGGGACGAAGCUCCGACGGUGAAUAGCCGUCUGGAGUGACGGUACCUUCAGAAGAAGCCCCGGCUAACUACGUGCCAGCAGCCGCGGUAAUACGUAGGGGGCAAGCGUUGUCCGGAAUCAUUGGGCGUAAAGAGCGUGUAGGCGGCUUGGUAAGUCCGCUGUGAAAGUCCAGGGCUCAACCCUGGAAUGCCGGUGGAAACUGCCAAGCUAGAGUCCGGAAGAGGCGAGUGGAAUUCCUGGUGUAGCGGUGAAAUGCGCAGAUAUCAGGAGGAACACCAAUGGCGAAGGCAGCUCGCUGGGACGGUACUGACGCUGAGACGCGAAAGCGUGGGGAGCAAACA
This 427-nucleotide ribosomal RNA is filed under the name uncultured Conexibacter sp. Its description in RNAcentral is "bacterial SSU rRNA". It matches the Rfam family "Bacterial small subunit ribosomal RNA", at positions 355 to 774 of the family's 1533-position model. Lineage: Bacteria; Bacillati; Actinomycetota; Thermoleophilia; Solirubrobacterales; Conexibacteraceae. The record is from RNAcentral.